GAUGAACGCUGGCGGCGUGCCUAAUACAUGCAAGUCGAGCGAAAGGACGCGAAGCUUGCUUCUCUGACGUUAGCGGCGGACGGGUGUGUAACACGUGGAUACCCCACCUAUCAGACGGGGAUCACUUCGGGAAACCGGCGCUAAUACCGGAUAAUCUUUUGAACCGCGUGGUUCAAUAGUGAAAGACGGUGUUUCUGUCACUUCUAGCUGGUUCCGGGCUGUAUUAGCUAGUUGGUAAGGUAACGGCCUACCAAGGCGACUAUGCGUAGCCGACCUGUGAGCGUGAUCGGCCACACUGGAACUUAGACACGGUCCAGAGUCCUACGGGACGGAGCAGUAGGGAAUCUUACGCAAUAGGCGAGAGCCUGACGGAGUAACGCCGCGGGAGUGAUGAAGGUCUGCGGAUCGUAAAACCCUCUUAUUAGUGAAGAACAGAUGUGUAAGUAACUGUGCACUGCGUGACGGUACCGAAUCAGAAAGCCACGGCUAACUACGUG
RNAcentral lists this ribosomal RNA (497 nucleotides) under uncultured bacterium. Its description in RNAcentral is "partial 16S ribosomal RNA". It matches the Rfam family "Bacterial small subunit ribosomal RNA", at positions 28 to 507 of the family's 1533-position model. The record is from RNAcentral.